Molecule: long non-coding RNA, 622 nt
Organism: Pteropus alecto (black flying fox)
Lineage: Eukaryota; Metazoa; Chordata; Mammalia; Chiroptera; Pteropodidae
Exons: 3
Source: RefSeq, a predicted model, not a curated record
CGCGCAGUGGAGCCACAGUCGCCACCCGCAUGCGGAUUGCGCCCCAACUCUCGGCUCCGACAGAUGACAACUGAGGCUCAGCAAGAUAAGCAGCCAAUCUGUCUUUGGAGCUGGAACUCUCCCCACACCACAACACUGGCAGUGAUGCUGGCGCCACUCACAUGCACCAGACCCAUUGAAUCAGCUCACGUUACUCUUCUGUUCAGAAUCCUGCACUGGCUCCCCAUGAUGCUGAAUACACAAGCUAAGGCCUUUACAUGGCCACAAGUUCCUGCAUGACCUGCACCCCCAUAUAUCAUUCUGGCAUCACCUCCCUUUCUUCUCUCUCAUAUUCAGCCACACUGGCCUCCUUGCUCUUCUCCAAAGACAUUAGCACACCCCCACCUCAGGCCCUUCGCAUCUGCUGUUCCCUCUGCCCGAGAUGCUCUUCCCACAGACACUCACUUGAUUACCCCCUCGCCUCCUUCAGAUCACAGCUCAAAUUUCACCUUCUCUGUGAAGGUUUCCCUGACCAUUCUCUUUAAAAUGGAACCCUCUCCCUCAUACUCUGAAUUCCUUUCCCUGCAUUAUUUUUUCCAUACAUAGCACUUGAUAUCUGACGUCCUGUAUAUUUUUAUUAUUC